UACGGAGGGUGCGAGCGUUGUUCGGAAUCACUGGGCGUAAAGCGCGUGUAGGCGGCCUUUUAAGUUCGGUGUGAAAGCCCGGGGCUCACCCCCGGAAGUGCACUGGAUACUGAGAGACUAGAGUACCGGAGAGGAGGGUGGAAUUCCUGGUGUAGCGGUGAAAUGCGUAGAUAUCAGGAGGAACACCGGUGGCGAAGGCGGCCCUCUGGACGGCUACUGACGCUGAGACGCGAAAGCGUGGGGAGCAAACAGG
This 253-nucleotide ribosomal RNA is filed under the name uncultured bacterium. RNAcentral's name for it is "partial 16S ribosomal RNA". It matches the Rfam family "Bacterial small subunit ribosomal RNA", at positions 524 to 776 of the family's 1533-position model. The record is from RNAcentral.